Molecule: non-coding RNA, 503 nt
Organism: Osmia lignaria (orchard mason bee)
Lineage: Eukaryota; Metazoa; Arthropoda; Insecta; Hymenoptera; Megachilidae
Source: RefSeq, a predicted model, not a curated record
CAACGGCCAACGCACCUUAAAUCGCCGAUUUACUGGACUCUCGCGCGAACUUACCUUAUCUUUCUACCUUAUAAGGAAGUCGCAGAACCGAGCUCGUCGGCGCAAACGAACACCUUGCUUCUGAACAGAAUUUCGAGGAAGGGUCUCUAACGCAGGACGUUCAUUCCCAGGCCCUUGCUGAUGGGCCAAAAUUCCUCUUUUUUUCAUCGGGGUCCAGGACGAGGCCGUAUUAGGAAACCUGCAGUCAUUGUGCGCGCCACGCUGAACAACGACGUCGGCGACGACGACGCUUGGAAAAAUCCUGCUCACCUCUUCAUCGUCAAAUUCGAUUGCUCUUUGUCCGUGUCCCUUUCAGAAAGUAACACAAUAGAUUCAGGUGUUCCAAACAGGUGGGCUCCAACGACGAAAAUUCACUGAAGAUUCCCCCUUCUGGAAGAUGGGAGCUCGAAGAAGAGGAUCGUUCCACGGCCACGACCACAUCUUGACCGCGGAUAAAAAGUCUU